CGGGAUGUAGCCUAGUGGCUAAGGCGUCUGGUUUGGGACCAGAAGAUCGGGGGUUCAAAUCCCUCCAUCCCGACCU
Molecule: transfer RNA, 76 nt
Filed under: Treponema phagedenis
Lineage: Bacteria; Pseudomonadati; Spirochaetota; Spirochaetia; Treponematales; Treponemataceae
Also listed under: 1 other name
Description: tRNA-Pro
Rfam family: tRNA
About the family: Transfer RNA (tRNA) molecules are approximately 80 nucleotides in length.
Source: RNAcentral